This 227-nucleotide unclassified non-coding RNA is filed under the name Vibrio ichthyoenteri. Its description in RNAcentral is "partial miscellaneous RNA". The record is from RNAcentral. Lineage: Bacteria; Pseudomonadati; Pseudomonadota; Gammaproteobacteria; Vibrionales; Vibrionaceae.
UAGCUCUUUAACAAUUUGGAAAGCUGACUGAUAACAACAUUAUUGUUAUCGAAAAAAGUUCUCAAUGUUUACCUUUAAGGUAAACACCAAAAAACACAUUCAAGUGUUCUUGGCAAUAUCAUCAUUUAUGAUGAUUAUUCGAAAUUGAGUCCGGCAAAAUCGAACGUCUCUCACUCAUCAAAUAGAGAGACAACUUGGUUGUUUAACGAAACUCCUUCGGGUUGUAU